Long non-coding RNA from Hevea brasiliensis (rubber tree), 539 nucleotides. RefSeq lists it as uncharacterized. NCBI's taxonomy places the organism in Eukaryota, Viridiplantae, Streptophyta, Magnoliopsida, Malpighiales, Euphorbiaceae. The transcript has 2 exons. The record is from RefSeq and is a predicted model, not a curated record.
UACAGCCAAAAUCUCUUUUUGGUCCAGAUGCCCAUUUUGGUAGAAUCGACUCCAGCAAAUGAAAGUGUGAAUUUCAAUAGCCGAAAAGUCCCCCAACUAUCAAGGGUAUAAAAAGGAAUCACAACUCAUUUUCAACUCAAAAUACUUAGGAUUUUCUUCUCUCCUCUCUCUCUCUCAACUAUUGGGGCAUACAAGAAACUCAUUGAAAAGAUUCCUUUGAGUUUUUGAAGAUUUAGAGGUGGAUUUUUUCAUUUAGAAGUGUAGAAGAGUUUAUUCAAGUUUUAAAAUUUUGGUUCUUCCGCCUCCAUAUUUCAAGAAAAUAGGUGCAAGGUUAUUGGACUAGAAGAGUUCUUUGAAGAAAGAGCAUCAAGAGUAGUCUUAGCCCUUCUUUUUGUAUAAUAUAUAGGUAGAUGGACAUAUAAUUUAUGAAUGGAUAAGAUUAAAAGAAUUUGGAAGUAUGUAAUAUUAUUCAAGUAUAAUGAUGUUUAUGUUGUGUAAGCCCUUUUGAGAGUAUGCAUUUGAAACCAUUACAAUUUGGA